This 63-nucleotide transfer RNA is filed under the name Lypnea pubipennis. RNAcentral describes it as "tRNA-Phe". The record is from RNAcentral. Lineage: Eukaryota; Metazoa; Arthropoda; Insecta; Coleoptera; Chrysomelidae.
ACUUAAAUAGCUUAAGUAGAGCAUAAUAUUGAAGAUAUUAAGGUAAAUUAAAUUUUUUAAGUA